RNAcentral lists this long non-coding RNA (1616 nucleotides) under Lathyrus oleraceus (garden pea). RNAcentral describes it as "Pisum sativum (pea) long non-coding RNA (PSAT_LNC039975)". The record is from RNAcentral. Lineage: Eukaryota; Viridiplantae; Streptophyta; Magnoliopsida; Fabales; Fabaceae.
UGGAAAUUGAUAUAAGAAGCCAAGUGAGGACUCAGAGUUGUUUUCACGUAUUCUGCAUCAGAGUCAGAGAAAAGGGAGAAACGCUGAGGAGAAAGAGAAGGAAGAGGAAAAGGCCAAAGACUGCUCAGAGCUUCCUUCAAUCCAAAGAGGUAAGGGGUCUGAAUCUUAUUAAACGAUAAUAUGCGAGCAAAUUUAUGAUAUCGGUUGGAUUGUUAAUGAAUUUUGGGGAUUUUAGGGAGAUUGGAAAAGUUGGGGUUUUGAUGGAAAAUUCUCCGAUCUGUGAGUUCUGUUGCGUUAUAUGCACUGUAAUCGAAGUAUGUUGUGUAUAUAUGACUGUUAAAUGUCAAUUUUGGGUUGUUAGCUGUGGGGUACGGGUUAUGGCGAGUAGAGAAGCAAAGCUGCGCUGAUUUCUGCAGCAGAGGGUUCUGUUCGCGCGCGAUUCGCGGCGCGAAGCCCAGUUCGCGGCGCGAACUGGGCAGGAUUGAGAGGAGUUCUGUAAUUCAUUGUUCGCGGCGCGAACCCUGCUUCGCGGCGCGUACUGAAGCGAAAUGAAUUGUUCGCGACGCGAUCCUUCGUUCGCGGCGCGAACUGUGUUGUAUUGGAGAGUUCGCGGCGCGUCCCUAUGUUGGCGGCGCGAACUGGAGAAAUGCAGAAGUUAAUGUUGGUGGGUUUUGAGUACGUUGAGUUGCGAGACUCUUAGUAAGUCGCUGUAGUUGUAUUAUAAACAAUUAAUAGUGAUUAUAUGAUUGUGUAUGAAGUGUUUUAUGAUGAUGAGAUGUUGAAAUUACGUGUUAGUUACGAAUGUGUUAUGUGACGAUGUGAUAUCGUUAGGAUGUUGUUGUUGUUUUGUUGAGUUGUAUGUCAUGCUAUUAAUGAUGAUGAUAACGUGACUAUAUGAUGUUGUUGUUGUUAUGUUGAUUAUGAUGCAUGUUUGAUGUGCAUGCAUUCAUGAAAGGCCGAUGCCUAGUGAUGAACGGACUGAGUUCCAAUGAUGUUGUUGACUCCGGGCUUGUUGAGAGGCUUGGUUCCUUGCGGGGAACUCGGAUUCUAUGGUGAUGAAUCUGGGAGUGGUGAUCCUGUAGUUGGUCACAAAAUGGGUAUACCGAGUCGUGUUGAGUCAUGCAUGGGUGUGUGCAUUGCAUUUGAUAUGUUGUUUUGUUGAUGUUCAUGAGUAUGUUGAUUAUGAUGAUUAUGAUGAGCUGUGUUGGCAUAUGUGAAAUAUAUUUAUGUUUAUAUUUCUGUCGUUAUAUUAUUAUUUAAUAAUGUAAUUCUCACCCCUUCUGCAUGUGUUUAUGUUCAUCUAUGAUGAGCAAUGUGCAGAUAAAGAGGAGUAGCUAUUGUUGAGGUUUGAAGAAUAAGUGUAGAGUUAUUCUACAGAGUCGAGUCAAAUGCUCUGGUCAUGUGACACCGGGGUUAUGGGAUUCGAUAGAUAUUUGGUUAUUAUUUAAGUUGUUUAUGAUGACUAAUAUGUUGAGAUAUUUUGUUGAGAAAAUGUUGAAACAUUAUUAUAAUAUUUGUGUGGUUGUCCGCUGCGAAAUUUUAAUAAAAUAAUUAAUAUGUUUUGUUUAUUGUGCUGCGAUAAGUGUUAUGUUGUAAGAAAUGUAAACUCUUCUACA